UUCUUUUUUGUUCUUUCGUUUCCGGACGCCUCCUUGCGGAGUUUUAAGUUUUAAUCGGCAGCUCCUUCAUUUGUCUUUCUUCGUCAGGUUUUCUGCGUCGUUUAACCCCGUGAUCCUGGUGAGUGAUGAAAAGGUCUUGCUGUUUUCAAGGGGCAUUCCUUUGUGACCUCUGGCGAGCCAAAUCUCCGUGGAUGAGGAGGUCUUGCUGUUUUCAAGGGGCAUUCCUUUGUGACCUCUGGCAAGCCAAAUCUCCGUGGUCAGCAGAGUUGUGUGGAUGUGGUGCGACGUGAAACACUGCAACAAGGCCCUUUUCGCAGUGUUGAAGUCUUGGUGCUCCGUGAAAUGACUGUGAGGUGCCAGCUCUGGCGACAACGGCAGUAGUUGUGUGCCUUUGAACGCCUUCUUACGGUGUUGAAAGGUGCACAAUCCUGUGAAAUGUUAGCAUUGACAAAGAGCAGUGGUGGUGUGCAUUUGAUUUUCUUUGUCUCAGCACUGAAAGUGUGGUGCUCCUGUAAGGUGUCAGUGUUGGUGACAAAAGCAGCAGCAACCUGUCUUUCGAUGUCUUGUCACAGUGUUGAAAGCUUGGUGCUUCCUGAGAAGUGAUUGUGAGGUGUUGGCAUUGGCAAAUGUACCAAUAUCUAUGAGUAAUAAGGUGAAACUUUGGAGGGGGUUCGGUUUUGAAUUGUUUCAGAAGAUUCCAAAACCCUAUGGAUGAAAUUUCGGUUGUUUGAAGAUUUGGCAGUUUUGUCGCAAUCUAGCCAACAUGGCAUCAUUCAUUUUGGUUUUGUGGACGUUGCGAGUGUUUAAAGUCUUUAAACCUCGA
Ixodes scapularis (black-legged tick) is the source of this 823-nucleotide long non-coding RNA. RefSeq lists it as uncharacterized. Lineage: Eukaryota; Metazoa; Arthropoda; Arachnida; Ixodida; Ixodidae. The transcript has 2 exons. The record is from RefSeq and is a predicted model, not a curated record.